AAGAUAUAGUCUACGCACAUAGUGAUAUGUGAUAACGUGACGAGAGGACCGGGAUGAACGAACCUCUGGUGUACCAGUUGUCCUGCCAAGGGCAUUGCUGGGUAGCUAAGUUCGGCAGAGAUAAGCGCUGAAAGCAUAUAAGCGCGAAGCUCUUCUCGAGAUUAGAUAUCAUAGAUUGGUCGAAGACUACGACCUUGAUAGGCUUUAGGUGGAAGUCCAGUAAUGGAUUAAGCCGAGAAGUACUAAUAAAUCAUUUUGACCUGCUUA
RNAcentral lists this ribosomal RNA (267 nucleotides) under bacterium. Its description in RNAcentral is "partial 23S ribosomal RNA". It matches the Rfam family "Bacterial large subunit ribosomal RNA", at positions 2635 to 2925 of the family's 2925-position model. The record is from RNAcentral.